Molecule: ribosomal RNA, 253 nt
Filed under: uncultured bacterium
Lineage: Bacteria
Description: partial 16S ribosomal RNA
Rfam family: Bacterial small subunit ribosomal RNA
Source: RNAcentral
UACAGAGGUCCCAAGCGUUGUUCGGAUUCACUGGGCGUAAAGGGUGCGUAGGCGGUCGGGUAAGUCUGACGUGAAAUCUUCAAGCUUAACUUGGAAACUGCGUCGGAUACUAUUCGGCUAGAGGAAUGGAGGGGAGACUGGAAUACUUGGUGUAGCAGUGAAAUGCGUAGAUAUCAAGUGGAACACCAGUGGCGAAGGCGGCUGCCUGGCCCAAUACUGACACUCAGGUGCGACAGCGUGGGGAGCAAACAGG